RNAcentral lists this unclassified non-coding RNA (222 nucleotides) under fungal sp. Its description in RNAcentral is "partial internal transcribed spacer region". The stretch from base 1 to 46 matches the Rfam family "Eukaryotic small subunit ribosomal RNA", at positions 1786 to 1831 of the family's 1831-position model. Lineage: Eukaryota; Fungi. The record is from RNAcentral.
AAGUCGUAACAAGGUCUCCGUUGGUGAACCAGCGGAGGGAUCAUUACAGAGUUCUUUCACGAGACUCCCAAACCAUUGUGAACAUACCCGUCAUCGUUGCCUCGGCGGGCGUCCCCUCGGGGGUGUCCGCCGCUGGCCCACCAAACUCUUUUUAUUGUUAGGGACUCUCUGAGACAACAAGCAAAUAAGUUAAAACUUUCAACAACGGAUCUCUUGGUUCUG